RNAcentral lists this ribosomal RNA (119 nucleotides) under Lepisosteus oculatus (spotted gar). The record is from RNAcentral. Lineage: Eukaryota; Metazoa; Chordata; Actinopteri; Semionotiformes; Lepisosteidae.
ACCAGCAGCCAUAUCACCCUGAAACUUGCAACUGGCAACCCACUGAAGCUAAGCAGGUGUGAGCCUGGUCAGUAGCUGGAAGGGAGACCUCCUGGGAAAAACUAAGGUUGCUGCUGGAU